This 273-nucleotide ribosomal RNA is filed under the name uncultured bacterium. RNAcentral's name for it is "partial 16S ribosomal RNA". It matches the Rfam family "Bacterial small subunit ribosomal RNA", at positions 523 to 796 of the family's 1533-position model. The record is from RNAcentral.
AUACGGAGGGUGCAAGCGUUGUUCGGAUUCAUUGGGCGUAAAGAGAGCGUAGGCGGGUGGACAAGUCAGAUGUGAAAGCCCACGGCUCAACCGAGGAAGUGCAUUUGAAACUGUCGUCUUGAGUACUGGAGAGGAAAGCGGAAUUCCCGGUGUAGAGGUGAAAUUCGUAGAUAUCGGGAGGAACACCAGUGGCGAAGGCGGCUUUCUGGACAGAUACUGACGCUGAGGCUCGAAAGCGUGGGGAGCAAACAGGAGUAGAAACCCCAGUAGUCC